This 258-nucleotide ribosomal RNA is filed under the name uncultured bacterium. Its description in RNAcentral is "partial 16S ribosomal RNA". It matches the Rfam family "Bacterial small subunit ribosomal RNA", at positions 96 to 354 of the family's 1533-position model. The record is from RNAcentral.
CGGCGGACGGGUGAGUAACGCGUGGGUAACCUGCCUUAUACAGGGGGAUAACAGUUAGAAAUGACUGCUAAUACCGCAUAAGCGCACAGUACCGCAUGGUACGGUGUGAAAAACUCCGGUGGUAUAAGAUGGACCCGCGUCUGAUUAGCUGGUUGGUGGGGUAACGGCCCACCAAGGCGACGAUCAGUAGCCGGCCUGAGAGGGUGGACGGCCACAUUGGGACUGAGACACGGCCCAAACUCCUACGGAAGGCAGCAG